AUAUGAAGGCGGGCUGGAAUCUCUCGGGGUUACAGCCUUGCUGAAUUAUUCACCCUCCGUCUUUUGCGUACUUCUUGUUUCCUUGGUGGGUUCGCCCACCACUAGGACAAACAUAAACCUUUUGUAAUUGCAAUCAGCGUCAGUAACAAAUUAAUAAUUACAACUUUCAACAACGGAUCUCUUGGUUCUGGCAUCGAUGAAGAACGCAGCGAAAUGCGAUAAGUAGUGUGAAUUGCAGAAUUCAGUGAAUCAUCGAAUCUUUGAACGCACAUUGCGCCCUUUGGUAUUCCAAAGGGCAUGCCUGUUCGAGCGUCAUUUGUACCCUCAAGCUUUGCUUGGUGUUGGGCGUCUUGUCUCUAGCUUUGCUGGAGACUCGCCUUAAAGUAAUUGGCAGCCGGCCUACUGGUUUCGGAGCGCAGCACAAGUCGCACUCUCUAUCAGCAAAGGUCUAGCAUCCAUUAAGCCUUUUUUCAACUUUUGACCUCGGAUCAGGUAGGGAUACCCGCUGAACUUAAGCAUAUCAAUAAGCGGAGGAAUU
RNAcentral lists this ribosomal RNA (538 nucleotides) under Alternaria sp. CHIT-8. RNAcentral's name for it is "eukaryotic LSU rRNA". The stretch from base 162 to 315 matches the Rfam family "5.8S ribosomal RNA". Lineage: Eukaryota; Fungi; Ascomycota; Dothideomycetes; Pleosporales; Pleosporaceae. The record is from RNAcentral.